RNAcentral lists this ribosomal RNA (746 nucleotides) under uncultured cyanobacterium. RNAcentral's name for it is "bacterial SSU rRNA". It matches the Rfam family "Bacterial small subunit ribosomal RNA", at positions 8 to 796 of the family's 1533-position model. The record is from RNAcentral. Lineage: Bacteria; Bacillati; Cyanobacteriota.
AGAGUUUGAUCAUGGCUCAGGAUGAACGCUGGCGGUAUGCUUAACACAUGCAAGUCGAACGGAGUACUUCGGUACUUAGUGGCGGACGGGUGAGUAACGCGUGAGAAUCUGCCUUCAGGUUCGGGACAACCACUGGAAACGGUGGCUAAUACCGAAUGUGCAGCAAUGUGAAAAAUUUAUUGCCUGAAGAUGAGCUCGCGUCUGAUUAGCUAGUAGGUGUGGUAAGAGCGCACCUAGGCGACGAUCAGUAGCUGGUCUGAGAGGAUGAUCAGCCACACUGGGACUGAGACACGGCCCAGACUCCUACGGGAGGCAGCAGUGGGGAAUUUUCCGCAAUGGGCGAAAGCCUGACGGAGCAAUACCGCGUGAGGGAGGAAGGCUCUUGGGUUGUAAACCUCUUUUCUCAAGGAAGAAAAAAAUGACGGUACUUGAGGAAUAAGCAUCGGCUAACUCCGUGCCAGCAGCCGCGGUAAUACGGAGGAUGCAAGCGUUAUCCGGAAUGAUUGGGCGUAAAGCGUCCGCAGGUGGCUAUGUAAGUCUGCUGUUAAAGAGUCUGGCUCAACCAGAUAAAGGCAGUGGAAACUACAUGGCUAGAGUGCGUUCGGGGCAGAGGGAAUUCCUGGUGUAGCGGUGAAAUGCGUAGAGAUCAGGAAGAACACCGGUGGCGAAAGCGCUCUGCUAGGCCGCAACUGACACUGAGGGACGAAAGCUAGGGGAGCGAAUGGGAUUAGAUACCCCCGUAGUCC